CACGUAGGGGCCAAGCGUUGUCCGGAUUUAUUGGGCGUAAAGAGCUCGUAGGCGGUUCGACAAGUCGGGGGUGAAAACUCCGGGCUCAACCCGGAGACGCCACCCGAUACUGUCGUGACUGGAGUCCGGUAGGGGAGUGGGGAAUUCCUGGUGUAGCGGUGAAAUGCGCAGAUAUCAGGAGGAACACCGGUGGCGAAGGCGCCACUCUGGGCCGGUACUGACGCUGAGGAGCGAAAGCGUGGGUAGCAAACAGG
This 254-nucleotide ribosomal RNA is filed under the name uncultured bacterium. RNAcentral describes it as "partial 16S ribosomal RNA". It matches the Rfam family "Bacterial small subunit ribosomal RNA", at positions 524 to 776 of the family's 1533-position model. The record is from RNAcentral.